This 508-nucleotide ribosomal RNA is filed under the name uncultured bacterium. Its description in RNAcentral is "bacterial SSU rRNA". It matches the Rfam family "Bacterial small subunit ribosomal RNA", at positions 17 to 518 of the family's 1533-position model. The record is from RNAcentral.
UUAUGGCUCAGGAUGAACGCUGGCGGUGUGCCUAAUACAUGCAAGUCGAUCGGGCGUAGCAAUACGUCAGAGGCGUACGGGUGAGUAACACGUAGGUAACCUACCUUUAAGACUGGGAUACCCAGACGAAAGUUUGGCUAAUACCGGAUAACAACAUUUGAGACAUCUCUUUUGUUUGAAAGGCGCUGCAAGGCGCCACUUUUUAGAUGGACCUGCGUCGCAUUAGCCAGUUGGUGAGAUAAAGCCCACCAAGGCUGGGAUGCGUAGCCGAUCUGAGAGGAUGACCGGCCACAAUGGGACUGAGACACGGCCCAUACUCCUACGGGAGGCAGCAGUAGGGAGUUUUCGGCAAUGGGGGAAACCCUGACCGAGCAACACCGCGUGAGUUGAUGAAGGUCUUCGGAUCGUAAAGCUCUGUUACGAGGGACGAAUGGUCGCUUUAGGAAAUGAGAGCGGUUUGACGGUACCUCGACCAGAAAGCGACGGCUAACUACGUGCCAGCCGCCGC